CCUACGGGAGGCAGCAGUGAGGAAUAUUGGUCAAUGGACGCAAGUCUGAACCAGCCAUGCCGCGUGCAGGAAGACGGCUCUAUGAGUUGUACACUGCUUUUGUACGAGGGUAAACGCAGAUACGCGUAUCUGUCUGACAGUAUCGUACGCAUAAGGCUCGGCUAACUCCGUGCCAGCCGCCGCGGUAAUACGGAGGAUUCAAGCGUUCGCCGGAUUUAUUGGGUUUCAAGGGUGCGUAGGCGGUAGGAUAAGUUAGAGUUGAGAUCCCGAGGCUCAACUUCGGAAUUGCCUCUGAUACUGUUCGUCUAGAGAGUAGUUGCGGUAGGCGGAAUGUAUGGUGGAGCGGUGAAAUGCUUAGAGAUCAUACAGAACACCGAUUGCGAAGGCAGCUGACCAAGCUACUGCUGACGUUGAGGCACGAAAGCGUGGGGAGCAAACAGGAUUAGAUACCCCAGUAGUC
Molecule: ribosomal RNA, 460 nt
Filed under: uncultured bacterium
Lineage: Bacteria
Description: partial 16S ribosomal RNA
Rfam family: Bacterial small subunit ribosomal RNA
Source: RNAcentral